RNAcentral lists this long non-coding RNA (1398 nucleotides) under Monodelphis domestica (gray short-tailed opossum). RNAcentral describes it as "lncRNA (ENSMODG00000050087.1)". The record is from RNAcentral. Lineage: Eukaryota; Metazoa; Chordata; Mammalia; Didelphimorphia; Didelphidae.
CACAAACAAAAUUACAUCAGACAGAGUUCAGGCCUCGGAGAAUUUUCAUGAGUACCUAUUAGCAGCUGAGUAUUCCUCUGGUUGAAUACUUGCCUGUUUUCCACCCAAAGCUUCAGGCAUCCUUACUUAGUAUUUUCAUGGGAUUACUGGGAUAGUGUGCUACUGAACUCCCUGAGAGCUUUGGCAAUGCCUUGUUGGAGAUGAGAUCAAUUAUCAGUGUCUAUUCAUGCUUGUGAAAAAUGGACAUUUGUAACUGCAAAAGCUUCUCAUUCCUCGGAAACUGCAUGCCCUCUAUCUCUCUAAGUAGCAAAAUCACAGAUUUUUAUUUGUUAUCAACUCUAAAACUAGGUCAUCUGAGUCAGUGGUUUAAUAACUGGUCACGAUAAGGACAUAGUGGUUUCCCCUCUUAAAUCAUUGGUUCAAAUCAGUACUCAGACGAUCAUUGUUGCUUACCUUUCUUGCCAUCUGGUUCAUUGGCUGUUAUCAGCUGAAAGGAACUGGUCCAGGACCCAGAGAAGAAGUGCUCCUAUCAAUAGAAAGUUCCAUCACGAUGGGGAUUUGUCCUGGGCACUUGACAAAGGCACAAGAAACCCAUAAAAUGAACGGCAGGUACUGAUGCAGAAGCUUCCACCCAGGAUCCAGGUUGCUUUCGGAAAAGAGAAAGGAGGGGUGGUAGAGGGGGAUGGCAUUCCCAGAUCUCCGCGAGGAAUUCUUCCUUGAGAUUCGUCAGUUUCCCCCAGAGACUUCCCCACAUGAAUGGGGCAUGGAGCUCGAUUUCUAUUGAACUACGUUACCCUGGAUUCUACAAAACUGGGAUUGUUGAACAUUGUGGGACAUUCGUGUCAGGCGUCACAGUCUGAAGAGAUCAGGGGCCGCACCAGGAGUGUGUUACGGCCCGCGCCUUUUUUGUUGUUGUUGGCUUGGCCAUUGCUUGCCGCCCAGUAUCGAAUUCUAUUGAAGACACGCCUAAAGUUCUUUCUCUGGAAGUGGAGAGCAUCCUUUGUCAUAAGUCCCUCAGAAAAGUCUUGGAUCACUAUAUUGAGUCCAUCCCAGACUUUGAAUGACCAUUUUUAUGGAGUAUUCCCCACAAUAUAACAACUGGAGUCAUCAUUUAUUUGUGCGAUUACCUUUUAUGUGAUUUAACAGAUUGAUUCUCAAGGGAAAUAGUCCCAAGUAUUUCUCCCUGUACCCAAGGGAAGACAUUAGUUGGAGUUGUGAGUUGUUGUACACAUUUUCCCUAGCCAUGUAUUCUUUUUGUAUGUUUCUUUCCUCACAUGUACUAUAGCCACAUGCAUUCCCUAUGAGUGUAUAUCUCUGAGUAAAUCCUUUACACACAUGCUUCCUGUAUGUGUCAAUUGAUUUGUGUGAGAACGUGCCCCAAAUUUAUGGAGGAAAUGU